This 241-nucleotide ribosomal RNA is filed under the name Escherichia coli. RNAcentral describes it as "partial 16S ribosomal RNA". It matches the Rfam family "Bacterial small subunit ribosomal RNA", at positions 1 to 236 of the family's 1533-position model. The record is from RNAcentral. Lineage: Bacteria; Pseudomonadati; Pseudomonadota; Gammaproteobacteria; Enterobacterales; Enterobacteriaceae.
UUAAAUUGAAGAGUUUGAUCAUGGCUCAGAUUGAACGCUGGCGGCAGGCCUAACACAUGCAAGUCGAACGGUAACAGAAAGCAGCUUGCUGCUUUGCUGACGAGUGGCGGACGGGUGAGUAAUGUCUGGGAAACUGCCUGAUGGAGGGGGAUAACUACUGGAAACGGUAGCUAAUACCGCAUAACGUCGCAAGACCAAAGAGGGGGACCUUCGGGCCUCUUGCCAUCGGAUGUGCCCAGAU